Molecule: ribosomal RNA, 561 nt
Filed under: uncultured bacterium
Lineage: Bacteria
Description: bacterial SSU rRNA
Rfam family: Bacterial small subunit ribosomal RNA
Source: RNAcentral
CCUACGGGAGGCAGCAGUGGGGAAUAUUGGACAAUGGGCGAAAGCCUGAUCCAGCAAUGCCGCGUGAGUGAUGAAGGCCUUAGGGUCGUAAAGCUCUUUUACCAGGGAUGAUAAUGACAGUACCUGGAGAAUAAGCUCCGGCUAACUCCGUGCCAGCAGCCGCGGUAAUACGGAGGGAGCUAGCGUUGUUCGGAAUUACUGGGCGUAAAGCGUGCGUAGGCGGUUAUUCAAGUCAGAGGUGAAAGCCCGGGGCUCAACCCCGGAACGGCCUUUGAAACUAGAUAACUAGAAUCUUGGAGAGGUCAGUGGAAUUCCGAGUGUAGAGGUGAAAUUCGUAGAUAUUCGGAAGAACACCAGUGGCGAAGGCGACUGACUGGACAAGUAUUGACGCUGAGGUACGAAAGCGUGGGGAGCAAACAGGAUUAGAUACCCUGGUAGUCCACGCCGUAAACGAUGAUAACUAGCUGUCCGGACACUUGGUGUUUGGGUGGCGCAGCUAACGCAUUAAGUUAUCCGCCUGGGGAGUACGGUCGCAAGAUUAAAACUCAAAGGAAUUGACGG